GCCCAGGUGGUGGAAUUGGUAGACACGCAGGACUUAAAAUCCUGUUCCUUCACUGGAGUGCGGGUUCGAUUCCCGCCCUGGGCACCA
This 87-nucleotide transfer RNA is filed under the name Candidatus Altimarinota bacterium. RNAcentral's name for it is "tRNA-Leu". It matches the Rfam family "tRNA". From Rfam's summary of the family: Transfer RNA (tRNA) molecules are approximately 80 nucleotides in length. The record is from RNAcentral. Lineage: Bacteria; Candidatus Altimarinota.